This 62-nucleotide ribosomal RNA is filed under the name uncultured organism. RNAcentral's name for it is "partial 16S ribosomal RNA". The record is from RNAcentral.
UGGGCUUGACAUGGCCGGAAUUCUGCGAAGAUGCGAGAGUGCCCUUCGGGGAAUCGGAACAC